RNAcentral lists this transfer RNA (77 nucleotides) under Planctomycetia bacterium. Its description in RNAcentral is "tRNA-Met". The record is from RNAcentral. Lineage: Bacteria; Pseudomonadati; Planctomycetota; Planctomycetia.
CCGUACCCAACGGCAAAAGCGUACAAACAUUUCCGCUCAUAACGGAGAGGUCGAAGGUUCGAUUCCUUCCCCCCGGA